This 87-nucleotide transfer RNA is filed under the name Flavobacteriales bacterium. RNAcentral's name for it is "tRNA-Leu". It matches the Rfam family "tRNA". From Rfam's summary of the family: Transfer RNA (tRNA) molecules are approximately 80 nucleotides in length. Their secondary structure includes four short double-helical elements and three loops (D, anti-codon, and T loops). The record is from RNAcentral. Lineage: Bacteria; Pseudomonadati; Bacteroidota; Flavobacteriia; Flavobacteriales.
GCACUGGUGGUGGAAUUGGUAGACACGCAGUCUUGAGGGGGCUGUGCUUUUAAAAGCGUGCGGGUUCAACUCCCGCUCAGUGCACAA